UAUAAUUCGUUGACGAGAAGAGUAGGCGUGAUAUGCUGCCUUUAGAGAGUCGCUGGCUGGUGGGAAGCGAUGGCAGGUUCAGCUGAAGAUCAUCUCCGAGAAGUACUGCAGAAAUGUUCAGAGUAAGCAGGACCGGCAGACGACCGUUACCCGUUGUGAUUACCGAGUGCCGCAAGUAUACUUGCGGAAUAUGGGUGGUACCGCGGAUUCCAAUCCGUCCCUGUU
This 225-nucleotide non-coding RNA is filed under the name Halobacillus sp. RNAcentral describes it as "T-box sequence". It matches the Rfam family "T-box leader". Rfam says of the family: Uncharged tRNA acts as the effector for transcription antitermination of genes in the T-box leader family. T-boxes are found upstream of many aminoacyl-tRNA synthetase genes and some amino acid biosynthetic genes usually in Gram-positive bacteria. Lineage: Bacteria; Bacillati; Bacillota; Bacilli; Caryophanales; Bacillaceae. The record is from RNAcentral.